GUUGUAUGGCUAGCAACGCGCGUGGACUUGCUCUGCGUUGCGUCAAGCGACCGUGCUUCCAUUGUUUGGCGCGCGACGGCUAACUCAGAACUGGCACGGACCAGGGGAAUCCGAAUUUCUGAUUAAAACAAAGCAUUGCGAUGUCCGCUGACCGGUUAUGACGCAAUGUGAUUUCUGCCCGGUGCUCUGAAUGUCAAAGUGACGAAAUUGAACCCGGCGAGGGUAAACGGCGGGAGUAACUAUGACUCUCUUCAACGACAAUUGGAUAUUCUUUCACAUCAUCUCUCUCU
Molecule: non-coding RNA, 290 nt
Filed under: Trichobilharzia regenti
Lineage: Eukaryota; Metazoa; Platyhelminthes; Trematoda; Strigeidida; Schistosomatidae
Description: Eukaryotic large subunit ribosomal RNA
Rfam family: Eukaryotic large subunit ribosomal RNA
Source: Rfam by way of RNAcentral